CGCCAGGAGUGAUCCCUGAGUGCAAAGCUAGGACAACCCUGAGCACUGUCAAAUGUGGGCCAAAAACAAAAUUAUGAAUUUGAGAAUUUGAGUCUCCAAACCCCUGACCUUCUCUGUGUUAAACUACUGGUCAGCUACUGAAAAACAGAACUCAGGUCUUGAUUCGAAAUGGUUCAGCACAUAAGUGGGUGUUUCAAAGCCCAGGUGUUGUUAAAUUGACAGGAAUGAUAAUAUGUUGCUGCCUUAUUUUUAUAUGGGAAAAUGGGAAAAAAUGAUGGAAAAGCCCAACAGGUUAGUGAUGGAUGAUGUAAAACAUCUUUCUGCUCAGAUAGCAGAACUUUUAAAUUCUGGUGUAUGAUGUUGUUUAGAAAUUUUCUUUUUUAUUAAAACCACUUUAAUAGUAUUGUCUCUUUUAAAAAAAUCAUUCUUUAUUUGUGAGCCCUUUUCUUGUUCUCUCUUUGUUUCUCUUCCUACUGAUUGGAACCACCACAAAACCCAGUUCUGAAAUAACUUUACCCAAAGUAAAUGCAUUUAUUUUUUAGUCAGAAGAACUUAAAAAUUCCAAAUGUUCUUUCAUGUGGUGGGUUCAUUUUUAGGAAACCUUAGGUUGUACUGGAAACCUUUUAUGUAAGCUAAACCAAAACUGAUGAUGAUUCUUUUAUUGUGACUUCCUUUAAUCAUUUUCCUCUGUACUUGCUCUGUCUUAACAGAGAGGGUAAGAGGGCCAUAGCCCUUUACCAAAAAUACCAUAUGGAACUCUUGACCUCAGAGGUCAGCUUGGCCACUGUAUUAGCUGGUGAGGCUGACCAGUGGAGAGAGCCGGUCAUCUGUCUCCAGGUGAAUGUAAUCUGCUUCCAGGACUUUCCACAGCGGGGCGUCGGCGGGUGGCAGAGCGCGGCGAUCUCUAGCCCCGAGAUUCCGGCCUCUGCACGGAUCUCAGGUCUCUUGGUACCUCCCCUUCAUCGAAGAGCAUCACUGCUCCUCGCUGGAGCACUCAGGAGUCCCAUGGAAGAAAGAAAAUACCUGAGUGUGGCCACAACCAUGGUAUUCUUAUUUUUAUCUGGAUGGAUUAGAAAUCUAUUUGAAACUUUGCUGGUAUCUCACAGUGCUACCACAGAGUCAUUGAAUCCCCCGCCUGCUGCGGUGGGGGCUUUGUUGUGCUAUUGUAGAGUGUGUGUAGAGUAAGGGGAUGAAUUCACUUUCUGGGUGUGUAGACGAGCCAACACGAGCAGCUGGCUGAUCGCUGAGUGCUCUCAGCAUUGUUCGUAGUGAGUGCUAUUUUCCAGGAGCUGGUUCAGUUUGUCCCGUCUACUGCACAGCAAACGAUGCUCUUCUUUCCACAUGAACCUUCAGCAAACACAGGUACUUGGAAGCCACAGGCUCACCUCCAUCUACUCAAUAAUUCUUAAUAAAGAGACCUCCAUAAAGGGAGCACAUGGCUGUUACCAAUAAACGUACCAAUUACCCAAUAAUUAGUCUCCAAGCCAUUCGGUGAUGUGUACAGCAUCACUGUAGAACUGUCUUGUGUCACUUUUUACUUCCCUUCGGGAGAGGGCUUUCAGGUCCCCCCAUUGGCACCUCUCAAUCAUGGAGGAAGCGCCUCUUCCUCUCCAGCUAGUGACUUCUGCCCCGUGGUUGGGGAAACUUCCUAGACUGAGAAACACAGCUCCAGUGAGUCCUGCUGAGGUCCUCGCUGGUGAUCGCUCACUCACACAUAACGCUCCUUGUAUUCUAACUGUCGUGCACUUCUAAUGCUCUCGGGUUUUCUCUCUGUUGGCCAUGGGUGCCAUCCAGACAGUGAGUUCAUAUCUUAUGGUUUUGUGCAAUCAUUGUCGUAUUGUAGUCCUAAGACUCAUUAUAGUGUAUUUUUGAUAUUUUUGAAAUGUGUUAAAUUUUUUAAUUCAAUAAUAUGAGCCAGAGCAUGUUGCAGCAAAUCUAUUGUUUGUAAAAAAUAAUAACAACAAUAAAUAACAUGAAAUGGAA
Molecule: long non-coding RNA, 1983 nt
Organism: Sorex fumeus (smoky shrew)
Lineage: Eukaryota; Metazoa; Chordata; Mammalia; Eulipotyphla; Soricidae
Exons: 2
Source: RefSeq, a predicted model, not a curated record